CCUACGGGAGGCAGCAGUGGGGAAUAUUGGACAAUGGGCGAAAGCCUGAUCCAGCAAUGCCGCGUGAGUGAUGAAGGCCUUAGGGUUGUAAAGCUCUUUUACCAGGGAUGAUAAUGACAGUACCUGGAGAAUAAGCUCCGGCUAACUCCGUGCCAGCAGCCGCGGUAAUACGGAGGGAGCUAGCGUUGUUCGGAAUUACUGGGCGUAAAGCGUACGUAGGCGGUUAUUCAAGUCAGAGGUGAAAGCCUGGAGCUCAACUCCAGAACUGCCUUUGAAACUAGAUAGCUAGAAUCUUGGAGAGGUGAGUGGAAUUCCGAGUGUAGAGGUGAAAUUCGUAGAUAUUCGGAAGAACACCAGUGGCGAAGGCGACUCACUGGACAAGUAUUGACGCUGAGGUACGAAAGCGUGGGGAGCAAACAGGAUUAGAUACCCUGGUAGUCCACGCCGUAAACGAUGAUAACUAGCUGUUCGGGCUCUACGAGCUUGAGUGGCGCAGCUACGACAUUAAGUUAAUUCCGUCCGUCGGGAGGUACGGUCGGCGAAGAAUUAAAACUUAAAAUUAAGUAAGUUAGUACGGCGUGAGACGUGCCGAACGGACGACGACGAGGGAGGUAGG
RNAcentral lists this ribosomal RNA (616 nucleotides) under uncultured bacterium. Its description in RNAcentral is "bacterial SSU rRNA". The stretch from base 1 to 520 matches the Rfam family "Bacterial small subunit ribosomal RNA", at positions 338 to 873 of the family's 1533-position model. The record is from RNAcentral.